This 409-nucleotide ribosomal RNA is filed under the name bacterium. RNAcentral's name for it is "partial 16S ribosomal RNA". It matches the Rfam family "Bacterial small subunit ribosomal RNA", at positions 355 to 776 of the family's 1533-position model. The record is from RNAcentral.
UGGGGAAUAUUGCACAAUGGGCGAAAGCCUGAUGCAGCGACGCCGCGUGAGGGAUGACGGCCUUCGGGUUGUAAACCUCUUUCAGUAGGGACGAAGCGCAAGUGACGGUACCUGCAGAAGAAGCACCGGCUAACUACGUGCCAGCAGCCGCGGUAAUACGUAGGGUGCGAGCGUUGUCCGGAAUUACUGGGCGUAAAGAGCUCGUAGGCGGUUUGUCACGUCGUCUGUGAAAUCCUAGGGCUUAACCCUGGACGUGCAGGCGUUACGGGCUGACUUGAGUACUACAGGGGAGACUGGAAUUUCUUGUGUAGCGGUGGAAUACACAGAUAUCAGGAAGAACACCGAUGGCGAAGGCAGGUCUCUAGGUAGUAACUGACGCUGAGGAGCGAAAGCAUGGGUAGCGAACAGG